UCGCCGUUGGCGUGCGCAGCAUGCUUGCACGGAAGAAGGUUGACUAGCUCGGUGUCACACGUGACGCUUCACUGAUGGACGAUAUUAUUCAGAGUGAUUACAAAGAUGUUGCAUAUAGAGUCAGGGAGAAAGGUAGGGACACAAUUAAUCCAAACAAGAUAGUUUUUCAAAUCUCAGCCCAAAUAUAAUUUAUAUUGAUUCUACCCAUACCAUUUGUAUGUUGCAAUUUUCUUUCAUAUUGUUGAUUUCAUCCCUUCUAAUAAGCCGAUGGAAUAGUGAAUAAUACAUUUCCUGUAUAACUCCAAGCAAUGAAGUCAGUCGUAUUAUGCAUACGGAGGGGAAUCACGGGCACCCACAAAACAUCAAUUGGCCACAACGUUUGUCUCGUCAACUCUUCAUUUUGAAAAUCGGAGAC
Molecule: long non-coding RNA, 415 nt
Filed under: Hordeum vulgare
Lineage: Eukaryota; Viridiplantae; Streptophyta; Magnoliopsida; Poales; Poaceae
Description: long non-coding RNA (HVUL_LNC011503)
Source: RNAcentral